UCAUUACAGAGUUUUCUAAACUCCCAACCCUAUGUGAACUUACCUUUGUUGCUUCGGCGGCGGAGGCUACCCUAUGGGGGAUACCACCCAGUGGUUACCCUGUAGUCCCGGGUGCUGAUUCGUUCCCAACGUUUCUCGUAAACGGUCAGUUACUUGGUGGCCCUCCCCGCCGGCGGCCAACUAAACUCUGUUUUUAUGGCAUUCUGAAUUAUAAACUUAAUAAGUUAAAACUUUCAACAACGGAUCUCUUGGUUCUGGCAUCGAUGAAGAACGCAGCGAAAUGCGAUAAGUAAUGUGAAUUGCAGAAUUCAGUGAAUCAUCGAAUCUUUGAACGCACAUUGCGCCCAUUAGCAUUCUAGUGGGCAUGCCUGUUCGAGCGUCAUUUCACCACUUAAGCCCUGUUGCUUGCCGGUUGGGGGCCUACGGCACUGCCCCGUAGCCCCCUAAAGUGAUUGGCGGAGUUGGUUCUCACUCUAGGCGUAGUAAAUCUAUCUCGCCUCUGUAGUGGUGCCGGCCCCUGCCGUAAAACCCCCUAUAUCAAAGGUUGACCUCGGAUCAGGUAGGAAUACCCGCUGAACUUAAGCAUACU
RNAcentral lists this ribosomal RNA (589 nucleotides) under Muscodor sp. GS5_3_5. RNAcentral describes it as "eukaryotic LSU rRNA". The stretch from base 229 to 382 matches the Rfam family "5.8S ribosomal RNA". Lineage: Eukaryota; Fungi; Ascomycota; Sordariomycetes; Xylariales. The record is from RNAcentral.